GUCGGUAAGCCAUGCUUUCAAUGAAACUGGCUGUAAAAACAAUAACUCGUUUUAGUCAUUUGUGCAUUGCAUGUCGUUACCACUAAUGAGCACAAGAUGGCAGAUGACUUCUUCGCCACUAUCAUAUUGUGUAUUUUUAAAGGAAGAAUUAAUAACAUGCAACGACCGUACUAUAGCCAACUUAUUAAAUGAUGAUCCAAAAUCAGGAAGUCAAAUGCAGUUUGAGAUUUAUUAAGAAUAAUGUGUUAUAUAAUAAUAUAGGAUAUAGAAGAGGUAGGCUUGAUCAUUAUUUCACACUCCAUCACAGCAGGUGGCGGUAUGCAUCUGUAAAAUUGGUUCGUAACCCGCAAUUAAACUAAAAGAAGAAGAUGAAGAUUGUAACGUCAGAUGAGGUGGCUCAUCGUAAGCAUUAUGUAAGUGCAUGCUCACAAGCUUAUUAAUAAUUAUAUUGCAGGGAAUGCGUUACGACAGGCACUGUCAUUGUGUGAAUAAUUAAUGAUAUAGUGAUCCAAGCACUACGUCGAGUUUGCCGUAAGCUUACCUCAUAGCCAUCAUAAGCCAGGUACGCUGACUGAAGGGUAACGUAACCACACGGAAGAGCCAAAAAGUACUAUGGAGGAAUACAAACACAAAAGCAGCAGCAGUAACAACAGAAGACAGUUUUGUCAUGUAAAUGGCCUUGGAAAAAAGUCUUUUUAACUGCAAUCACAUAAGUUGAUGGAAACAGUGUCAGGCUUUCACAGAUGGAGACGAUAUAGUGAGAUUAUUCACCAAGUAUUUAUUCACAAGAUUGACCGAAGCUGAUUUAGAUGACCAAAUUAUGAACAUUAUGACCCACCCUGAGGCUGUAAGAGUGUGCCUAAUGAGAGAAUGCAUACUUUUAUAGGACUUGUACUUUUAUAAGGAGUUAUAGGACUUAAUAUACUCAAGAAGACCAAGGGAUCCUUAUGGGACUGUACAUGCUGGACAUACAGAUCGUGCCCUGAUGCCAUCUGCCCCAUUCUCCCAGCCUCAUCUUCCCUCUCUAUGGCUUGCUUCACAUCGGUUGGCUCUCCUUUGGCUUUCUUCGGCUCUCUUCAUCCUGUCUGCCUGCUUGCCUCGCUGCUCUCCCCGAUAACAUUUCCUGUCUGAUGCCUUGACCUCUGACUCUUUCUGCCAGGUGCCAUCCUCAGCGAUGACUCACUUUAGUGCCACCCUGCUGAUUGGCAUUGCUCUUCUGAGGUCAUCACCAUCUUUCUUCAGCCAACCAAAAAAAUUCUCACCAACCACCCCGGCUCUGCUAAGCUUGAUGUUGGAGGUCUGCUGUUUUUGAAGCAGGGGACCAAUAUCCAUUAAAGGCUUUCUGAACCAUUUAACAAAAUCACAAAAGAUAGGGUAGUUCAUACUCAAUGUGAUGUGCUAUACAAUGGAAGGGCCAUCACAUCUUUAUACUGCAAAGAACAAUUUACUAACUUAUCAAUUAUUGAAUGAAGAAAGGCAAUGGAAAAGCAAAGAUAUUUCUUUCCCUGGGGAAUUUGAGUCUUAAAUUUAGUAAUUACUGUUUUAUGGAAUAAAUAAAAGUUGAAUAUUAUGUUAUUUUAAAAGCAUCAUGUAUCUUUUUCAUUCCUUAUGUAUUCUACAUAGUAGUGUGUCAGGCACUUAAACCCUUAGGAAAAAGGCCAAGGAAAAUAGAGAGCAACAUAGCAACAUAAACACCUCAUAUCUAAAAACAACUGUUUAUUUUCACAUGCAACAUUAAACUAUGGUAUACAUCUCUGUUUUCAUUACAAUAUUGAACAGGAUGAGUAUUUUGAGUCUACAGUACUGCUUGCUCCAUCUCCAGCAAAGAUGAAAACAUCCCGAGAAAAAGGACCCAUUCACACAGCCUUCCUCGUUUUACCACCUCAACACAUUUUACACGGACAACACAGCAUCUGGAAGACAUUUAUGAUCCUCACCAGUGUUAUUUAUUGUGUGUUUUUUGUCCUGUGUGUGUCUAAUGAUAAUAAAAAUAUAUAUAAUUGAUCAAUUGAACUUUGAAGGAUAAAGCAAAACAAUUUACU
Molecule: long non-coding RNA, 2042 nt
Organism: Paramisgurnus dabryanus
Lineage: Eukaryota; Metazoa; Chordata; Actinopteri; Cypriniformes; Cobitidae
Source: RefSeq, a predicted model, not a curated record